This 105-nucleotide ribosomal RNA is filed under the name Bifidobacterium bifidum. RNAcentral's name for it is "23S ribosomal RNA". The record is from RNAcentral. Lineage: Bacteria; Bacillati; Actinomycetota; Actinomycetes; Bifidobacteriales; Bifidobacteriaceae.
CGAAACAACCGAGGCCUGGGCGCUAACCUCCGGGUCCGUGCCGUCUCCUUUCGGGGGGUCGCGGCGCGGGCGCGUUGGGAUCCCCCCUCGUAGUAGGUCAGCGCA